CUAAAGGAAAGGCCCAAGGCUGCAGGCCUGAGAUUAGUUUGGCAGCAGCUCCAAAGAGCAGCCCUUCAAUCGCAGGGAUUGAGCCCUUAAAAGUCCUGGCUGCCUCCCACCAGCCCUGCUAAUGGGGCUGAGCUGUUGGAGCCCUGACCUCUGUCUACCCGCCUGAUGAUCUGCUGCUCUGAAUCUCACUUCCGCAGCACCCAGGAGGACCAGAGACUCGGUCUAGCUUAUGUGCUCCAUGGCCUUGCAUGUUUUCAGCACCUACUGUGCGCAGCAUCGCCGCGCCUCCCCAUCCCCCUGCCUGCUGUUACUCUCACCAGCGCGCCCAGUCACGGGCUAAUUAGUGGUUAAUUAGUCAUAGGCUAAUCAGUGGUUAGGGCUACAGUAUGUAUGCAUGGUGGGGUGCAGACAGUGGGGUGGCCGGCGGGUGACGGUGCGGGUGGAAGAGAACAGGAGAGACGAGGCCGUGGUCUGACCUUCCUCCAAAAAGCCCGGAAUCCCUGAGUCUGUCUGUGGCAGCUGUGGAACAGAGGGAGCAUGGGAUCUGAACCGUGCCGCCAUCUGGGAGAGCACACACACAGCCAAACCCCGGAAGGAAACUCGAGCUGAAAUAUACCGUUUGCUAAGGAGCCGGUCCGGGCACUGGUUUCUCUGCGUUCUGAAUUUCUAGAAAGGGAAAACUCUCCCUUGCCAGGCGACGUCUACCACCCCUUCCCACUGCGGCCCCUCCAGUCCGCACCCCUUCGCCUCCUAGACCCCCUGUGAGGACCCUCAGCAAACUUCCGCAAGGCCUGACGAGCCCUGGGUGCGGGGUGGUGUGGACGCAGAUCUUUCGGGCCGAGGGGAAGGCUGCGGGGGUGUGGGCGUGGAGGUGCCAGGAGCGCGCAGCCUCCGCCUGCCCGGCUGUCUCCGCGGACCCCACCGAGGGUGGGAGAGAAGCGCUGGGAAAAGGAAGGGGAGAAGGAGCCCGAGCGGGAGGCGAGCGAGCGGUUCUUUCGCUCCUCCCAAAGAGCGGGGCGGCUCCGCUGUGCUCCUGACAACCCGGCCGCCGCCGCCCUGCUACCGCUCCCCGGGACCCGUCGGCGCUGACACUGGUGACCCGCUGCGGGGGCGCGGGGCGCGCUGGACACUGGCCGCCGGCUCUCGGGCCCGCUCCUGUCGCAGGCUUCCGCUGCUUCCACGACCCUCCCUCAGCCGCGAGAAGAGGUGCUCUGGCGACCUCGGGCCUUCCCUGGGGGUCUGCGCCGGCCCCUACCCCAACCCGCCCAGGGAAGAGGCGCGAAGGGGUGGGCCGCGAUGCGGAGGCGGGAAACUCAGGCGAGAUGCGAGGCUGGAGAACACGACGCAUGGAGGCGCGGGGUGGACCCCCAGUGUACUCCAGGAGCCGGCAGGAGCUAAACCCCAGCCUGCAACCCAGGUAUCCCUGCGGACCAUGAGGUGCCACCCGUCCCUGGUCGCAGAAAAGACCAAGAACCUCAAAAGGGAAGGCCCAGCUCCCAUACCUGCACCUCCCAUGCCAGGCACCCAGCGUGCUCAACCGAGCCCCAAGACGCAGGUUAACCCUGUCCCAGCUUCUCCCCUUGGCUUUGGACAAGCCUCUCUUCUCUUCCCCAAUGAGAACCACAGCUCACAUUCGGAGGGCUUGCCUCCUUGGUGCUCAGAGCUCUCAACAUGGGUGAUCCUCUGCCAGGGGUCCUUAGCUACCCCCUUUGGACAAGGAUGGACAGCUGUUUUCUCAAGCUUGCCUGGAGCACAGCUUCUAAACAGACGAGCUCUCCCCACGUUCCCGGCAGAUUGUCUGGCCUAAGCUCCUUUGAGGAAAUAAAGAUGACCAUAGCCAAGCUGCCCUGCUCUGCAGCAAGGACCCUGGGCGUCCCAUCCUCAACUCCCCUGCCUUGUGCUAGAGAUCAGCAUUUCCAUCCAGCAACUCCUCUGCCCCAGACUUACCAGACACUCCAGUCCACACUGACUCUCCUACCUGCCAGAACUGUGCAUUUAAAAUCCCAUACUUGCUUGAGUCUGGCUUUGUUCUCCAGUAGUUUCAAAUGCCUAUGUUUGACUCCCCCGACCAGCCACACAGAGAUAAGGUCAUCACAAGCAGCAACUACUGCUUU
Molecule: long non-coding RNA, 2114 nt
Organism: Callithrix jacchus (white-tufted-ear marmoset)
Lineage: Eukaryota; Metazoa; Chordata; Mammalia; Primates; Cebidae
Source: Ensembl